UGCGAGUGAAGCGGGAAAAGCUCAAAUUUAAAAUCUGGCAGUCUCUGGCUGUCCGAGUUGUAAUCUAGAGAAGUGUUAUCCGCGCUGGACCGUGUACAAGUCUCCUGGAAUGGAGCGUCAUAGAGGGUGAGAAUCCCGUCUUUGACACGGACUACCAGGGCUUUGUGAUAUGCUCUCAAAGAGUCGAGUUGUUUGGGAAUGCAGCUCAAAAUGGGUGGUAAAUUCCAUCUAAAGCUAAAUAUUGGCGAGAGACCGAUAGCGAACAAGUACCGUGAGGGAAAGAUGAAAAGAACUUUGGAAAGAGAGUUAAACAGUACGUGAAAUUGCUGAAAGGGAAACGCUUGAAGUCAGUCGCGUUGUCUGGAAAUCAACCGUGAAUUUCUUGGUGUACUUUCCAGUUAACGGGUCAGCAUCAAUUUUGACUGUUGGAAAAAGGUCAGAGGAAUGUGGCAUCUUCGGAUGUGUUAUAGCCUCUAAUUGUAUACAACAGUUGGGAUUGAGGAACUCAGCACGCCGCAAGGCCGGGUUUUUAACCACGUUCGUGCUUAGGAUGCUGGCAUAAUGGCUUUAAUCGACCCGUCUUGAAACACGGACCAAGGAGUCUAACAUGCCUGCGAGUGUUUGGGUGGAAAACCCGAGCGCGUAAUGAAAGUGAAAGUUGAGAUCCCUGUCGUGGGGUGCAUCGACGCCCGGACUUGACGUUUUCUGACGGUCCCGCGGUAGAGCAUGUAUGUUGGGACCCGAAAGAUGGUGAACUAUGCCUGAAUAGGGUGAAGCCAGAGGAAACUCUGGUGGAGGCUCGUAGCGAUUCUGACGUGCAAAUCGAUCGUCAAAUUUGGGUAUAGGGGCGAAAGACUAAUCGAACCAUCUAGUAGCUGGUUCUGCA
Molecule: ribosomal RNA, 886 nt
Filed under: Floccularia albolanaripes
Lineage: Eukaryota; Fungi; Basidiomycota; Agaricomycetes; Agaricales; Squamanitaceae
Description: partial large subunit ribosomal RNA
Rfam family: Eukaryotic large subunit ribosomal RNA
Source: RNAcentral